This is a long non-coding RNA of Apis cerana (Asiatic honeybee), 3015 nucleotides long. RefSeq lists it as uncharacterized. Lineage: Eukaryota; Metazoa; Arthropoda; Insecta; Hymenoptera; Apidae. The record is from RefSeq and is a predicted model, not a curated record.
CGUCUGGUCGGCGUCUGGAGUCGCGUCUCGCUCGUAAAGUCAUCAGUCGCUUACAGAAUUGGUCGGUUGAAACUAUUACGUGCUUUUUACGACGCUUGACUUUCGUGUUGUCUCAUUUUCGAAAGCUUCAUUGUAACGUGGAUGUACGAUGCUGUCACCGGUGACACAGUUCUUUUCCCUUGGCAAAACAAAAUUCACAUUUACGCGAUAAAUGCGACGAAUUAACGAGGAACUGACAGAAUAUUUUGUGUAAAUUGUGAGAAUCUCUUUUCUUGAAAGUGAAAUUUCUUUUUUUACUUGUUUAUCCUAAUACUUCCUUUGACACACACAAUCCAAAGAUUGAUCAAUAUCAUUUAUUAUAUAAUGUAGAACGGAACUAUGUGAUCUAUAUACAUCUACGCAAUAUAUUCUGGCACGAUUUUUCCUACUUGACGUACAAAAUUCUCAUUGCAUGAUAAAAGUGAUGGAAUAAUGUAGAAUUAUCAGAAUAUUUUAUAUUAAUAAAUCGAGAAUACGGUAGAGGAACGAUCUAUCGAGUCGAAAGAAGACAUCGUACGUGCUGCCACGAUGGGACUAUCGCGUGUACGGGUGUGUUCGUUCGUGUAACGUAGUGGUCUAUCAAUUUCGCGGGCCUGGACGUUUACGAGGAGAUCGUAAAGGCGACGUAAUAGGCGUACAUGGUCGUAUAGACUGUCGCCGGGUGGUCAGGAAAUUCGAUCGAGCGCGAAAGGUUUUACGUAAGUCUCGAGAUCCUUCGAUCGUCCUCCAUGUCGCAGUGUUCGUUGCAAAUGUUACGCAGUGAACAUAACCUCGAAAUACAUCUUUCGAUUUCCUGCUUUUCUUCUAAUGGCAAUUGAAAAUUCGUUACGAGAGUAUGGAACAUGAAGAAAAUUUCAGCAACAGUUUCUAAAACGAUCUAUGAAGAUUAUCAAAAGAUAUCAUAAGAUCAAAGUAUGAUUUCGCGAAACUUGAGAUUAUCAAAGCGCAGAAUGAUAGAGGUACACCGUUUUAAAGACGUCCGGCCACCUGCGGAGCUUCAUCGCGAGCGUGGGCUGCUGAGUGCAAGAAGAAGGGGUGUCAAGGGUGAAGCUCUCGAGUAUGAGUAUACACGUCAACGCAUAUGGUAAUGCUGAUAGAUAUUGUAUUAGAUUUUUUUUCACUUCAAAAUUCUGAUACUAAUGAUUAUUAAUCUGCCGUAAAUAAACAUUUGAAAAAAUGUUACGGAUAAAAUUGUUCACAGAUCGUCAACGACUUAAUUUGCGUAUAUAAGAUGAGUAUUAUUGAUAAUUAUAUUAUUAAUAAUCAUUUCUAUUAUAGUUUUAAUCAAUAUCAUCAAUAAUCAAUUUGAAUUAUUUACAAUAUUUUAGGUUUAAAGAAUUCUCAAGAUAACACAUAAUUUGUAAUAGAAAACGAAGUCUGUUAUGAUAAAUCGGAUCUACAUGGUAUUCUAGAUGGUAUAACUGUCGGAUAAUAUUCGAACGGUUGAAUAAUCAGUGGGAUAGAAUCAUUAUAAGCCAAGCAAUAGACAUAAAUCAAAGGAGAUCUACGAUUCCCUGCAAUAUCUUUGAAACUAUCGAUGAUACUGUUACACCUUACAUUAUAUUUAAUUAAAAUUUAUCUUUUUUUUUAAACGUAACACAUAUUCUAACAAUUUAAUAUAAAAAUACAUAGAAAUAUUUUUUAUCUACAAAAUAUUUAUAUUUAUUCCAUCAUUUCGUUUUUUAAGCAUUUUAUAAAACGCUAAAUGCUUUUUGAAGCAAAUUUUUUAAAGAAUAUUUCUAAUCAAAAAUCUUAGACUAGUUAUUAUAUUUAUUUUGAAAAAAAGGAAAAUUUAAUGUUUAUGAUUUGUAAUGUGUAAUACGUUGAAAUAAAUGACAACAGUUUUAUGAUAUUUAUGUGUUGUCCAUAUUUUUGGAUAAGAUACACAUCAAAUUCAUUUAUGGGAAUUGCUAGAUGACCAGAUUAUUAAACUUGGCAACGACCUCGUAGAAGGUUUAUAUCUUUUAACGAAAGAUUCACAUCUUCAUCGUGUUACAGCAAUAUCUAUUUAACGAGAAAUGGCAAUGACGAUAAAUCGAAGAGGCAUGUUUCUUUGGUCUGUUUCCAGCGAACUGAAGAAACUCCGUGUCAAAAUUCGCUAAUUAUAGUUCAACUAGCAACAAGGCGAACGCGUUACCAUCGACGUUGACGGCCGCGACGACUCGCUUGGACUUGAACCAAUCCUGACCUUCCCUGCUGCGUCGUGACGACCUAGAAAAUUGCGUGCGUCAUAUUCGUCGCAGCGUGUCAAACGAGCCGUAUAUGUUAUAUUAUUCCACUGAAUAUCGUGACCGGAAAUAUUAAAUGACGUGAUAACAUAUCAUGCAAAAUUUUGAUUUGGGAUUCAAAAAAAAAAUCUAACGUCUAUUUGAAAAGUCUGUGAUUCGAGAAUAUAUAAAUAGGAUUUGAGAAAUUUUUGAAACUAAAAUUUAAAAAAAUCUUUAAUUCAGAACUCAAAAUUUAAGAUCAUUUAUUAAUUUAAAACUUAGAAUUUGAAAUAUUUUGAAUAAGGAAAUAUACGAAUAUAAUUUCAUAUUCAAGGGAUAUAUUCAAGAAAUAUAUUUAUUAUUUUUUUAUAAUUUUGGAACUAGAGAAAUUUAUUGAUUAAUAUUGUAAAAAUUUGUAAUUAAAUUAUUUAGAAAUAGAAAAGUCUUUAAUUAAAGUCUUUAAUUAAAAUCUAAAAUGAUAAAAAAAUGUUAAAUGUAAUGUUACAUUACAUUUUAAUAGGAAUACAAAUUGUUCAUUAGAAUAGAAUUUCUAUUAAAAUUCUUUGGAAAACAAUUAAUAAUUAUAAUUGAAAUUUAUAUAAUAUAAUUUUAUGAUUUCCUGUAUUAUUUAGAGCCUUAUAUUUAUAAAUAUUUUACAUUCAAUUGUCAGAUUUAUAAUUAAUUUUAUUAUAAAAUAAUGAUAAUUCUUCUAAUUGUAUAAUUGGAAUUAUAUAAUUCAUAUACAAUAAAAAUGAUCAUUAAUUACCAA